CCAGGCAAGGCGGGAGCGCAAGAGAAUCGGGGUCAGGUGGGGGGCGGUGGUGGCGGGGGCUGCUUUUGUGUCCUUCCUCGGCCCCCCGUGAUGGCGGUGGGCGCAGCUACACCCGUGAGCCCCAGUCAGAGCCACCACUGAGCCUGGCCCUGCACCCUCAGAGUGGGGAUUUCUUCCUCUGUUUCAGCAUCUUGAACCACAACAUUACUGACUUUUAAAGAUAUUUAAUGGCAGAAAUAUGGGUCUUCAGUAACAAUGGAUGAAUCGCUGGAAUAAGUAAACUGUCUUGAUCAUUGAAACAGAUUCGCUUUAAGUCCAGUUUACUAGAUUUAUGAUCAAGGGGUCUUCUGCUUUUAGUAAUAAUGCAAAACUUAGCUUUUCCAUGCACCAACUUUGAAAAAUAUCAAGAAAAUUGGAGAUACUGCUGUGUUGCCCUGGAAACCGGAUCCUGAUCCACAUUUAGAUUUUUUGAAGAUCCAUCAGUAGAUCCUACAGGAGAGACUCUUACAGAUCCAGUUUCAAGUUCAGCUGUGGCUAGAAAGAAGAA
Chrysemys picta bellii (western painted turtle) is the source of this 547-nucleotide long non-coding RNA. RefSeq lists it as uncharacterized. NCBI's taxonomy places the organism in Eukaryota, Metazoa, Chordata, Testudines, Emydidae. The record is from RefSeq and is a predicted model, not a curated record.